Molecule: long non-coding RNA, 424 nt
Organism: Diceros bicornis minor
Lineage: Eukaryota; Metazoa; Chordata; Mammalia; Perissodactyla; Rhinocerotidae
Exons: 3
Source: RefSeq, a predicted model, not a curated record
CAGAUGCUGUUCUCCCCACACAAAGCUCACAGGUUUAUAAAGAGUGAGCAAAUGAGAAGCUAGGCCCAACAUUUAUAUCUUAAACCCACUGGCAGAUUAGUCCUCUUGAUUUUGUGUUUCUGGGUUCUAUAUUUUUAGAAAUACCAUCAUCUAUACUGGAAAUGCUUUACUGUGCAGUGAAGGAUGAAGUUCAAUGAAGGAGAGCUCCAAGGGUGUGUGAGUUUCUAGGAACUGGAAUAAAACAAAGAAAAUCUAACUCAGAUGGGCUCCAGAGAGGAGGAUCCAAGAGUGAUAUUACUGUGCCCUCGUGAUGGAGUUCCAUACGUGGCACGCCACCACAGCAUGGCUUGAUGAGCUGUGCUUAGGUCCGCACCCGGGAUCUGAACCUGCAAACCCUGGGUCACCGAAGUGGAGCUUGCAAAAU